This is a long non-coding RNA of Hevea brasiliensis (rubber tree), 640 nucleotides long. RefSeq lists it as uncharacterized. Lineage: Eukaryota; Viridiplantae; Streptophyta; Magnoliopsida; Malpighiales; Euphorbiaceae. The record is from RefSeq and is a predicted model, not a curated record. The transcript is spliced from 2 exons.
UUUUUUAAUCUGGGUGCUGUGGGGAACUGUGAAUAAAAUGUAACUUCUGUCUCUAUUUUCUUAGAGAGAGAUUUCUCUCUCCUGUUUCUUGUCUGUCUGCGCCUGAGGCUUUUCUUGUUGCCAUUCAAGCAGUUUCUUUUGCCCCUACGGGCAGGGUAAGCUCUCUUCCGGCCCGGUUGUUGGUUUGACUCUCCUCCCACUAGGUGGUUGUAAAUAUGUCUUUUUUGUAUUCUUCUAGCAGAUUGAGCUUUAAUGAGUGAGAGUCUUUUAUGGAUUUGCCUUGAUUUUGCUACUUCACUUUGCAUGCAAGUGCUGCUCUUCCCCUGGGCUGAAAUCACAGCGUCGGUGAGGUGGUCUUGUCUUUGUAUGGAGGAUAUAUAUUGUGCAGCUUUUUCUCCAAGAGCAGCGCUGCUUGCCUCUUGCUUCAGUCAGGUCGAUGCCUUUACUGGUCUGCUAUCUAGGUCUAAAGACCUAGGGUUCCUAUUGCCGGAUUGGGGCUUUAGUGUAAUCUGAGUCGAGUCUUUUCUUUGUAAACUGUAAUUAGGCUUCUUUAUUUUAGUCAUGGGCCUAGCCUUGUAUUAUUCUCAGCCCUUUUUAAGGCAUUUAAUAAUAUCAAAUACAUAUCUUUUGAAAAGAAGAA